GACGAACGCUGGCGGCGUGCUUAACACAUGCAAGUCGAACGGUAAGGCCCUUCGGGGUACACGAGUGGCGAACGGGUGAGUAACACGUGGGUGAUCUGCCCUGCACUUCGGGAUAAGCCUGGGAAACUGGUCUAAUACCGGAUAGGACCGCGCACUGGUGGUGUGUGGUGGAAAGCUUUUGCGGUGUGGGAUGGGCCCGCGGCCUAUCAGCUUGUUGGUGGGGUAAUGGCCUACCAAGGCGACGACGGGUAGCCGGCCUGAGAGGGUGUCCGGCCACACUGGGACGGAGAUACGGCCCAGACUCCUACGGGAGGCAGCAGUGGGGAAUAUUGCACAAUGGGCGCAAGCCUGAUGCAGCGACGCCGCGUGGGGGAUGACGGCCUUCGGGUUGUAAACCUCUUUCAGUAGGGACGAAGCGCAAGUGACGGUACCUACAGAAGAAGCACCGGCCAACUACGUGCCAGCCGCCGCGGUAA
Molecule: ribosomal RNA, 476 nt
Filed under: uncultured bacterium
Lineage: Bacteria
Description: partial 16S ribosomal RNA
Rfam family: Bacterial small subunit ribosomal RNA
Source: RNAcentral